GUGUUCACCUCUUCCCAUCCCGAACAGAGAAGUUAAGCCCGGAACCGCCGAUGAUACUUGGGUCAAACCUGGUAAAGUAGGUAGCCGCC
RNAcentral lists this ribosomal RNA (89 nucleotides) under Dyadobacter frigoris. The record is from RNAcentral. Lineage: Bacteria; Pseudomonadati; Bacteroidota; Cytophagia; Cytophagales; Spirosomataceae.